Non-coding RNA from Solanum lycopersicum (tomato), 643 nucleotides. NCBI's taxonomy places the organism in Eukaryota, Viridiplantae, Streptophyta, Magnoliopsida, Solanales, Solanaceae. The record is from RefSeq and is a predicted model, not a curated record.
ACCUUUUGAAGGGCAAAGUGGUCGUGCUGAUUCAUAUCCAACCUCAUUUAUGGAUUUGAUGAGAGCAACUUCGUAUCCAUAUCAAAGAGGUUUCUAAUCUACAAGGUGACUUGGAGUUUGUGGAAUUUAAAACUAUAAAGGAUGUCUAGAGAGACAAUUAUUCAAAAUUCAUUUUGUUCUGUUUUCUUUCUUUGGCAGAAUAUAAAUCCAGGGAUAUUUUUUGUUCAAGACUUUUUUUCUUUUAAGUUUACAUACAAUAACUCAGAGUUUUAGCUUUAGUUUUUUUUGUUGAUUGUGUUUUUAUUCAUAGUGAAUUAGUUACUCUUUUAUGCCUUCAUAUAUGUUAGCAAGGAUACUCCACUCUCUGAUACAUAGCAGCAGCAAUAACAACGUAUAGCAACAAAAAAAUUUCACCGAAAGAAUAAAAUUUGUAACCAAGCAUGCAAUUGUGAUUAAAUCAUGGGCCGUAUUUAAUAGUGUUUGAUUUUGUUUGCUUACUCUUAUAAGUUUGAAUAUGUUGAUUUUGUUGCACUUUAUGUUUCUGGAAUAGUUUCAUAUUAAUAUUUUGCUAGCAUUGCUUCAAUGGCAACAAGUACCGGUUCUUAUAAAAAAAAAUAAUAUGUUGGCAAUGAUUUUCUUUGAA